GAGUUUGAUCGUGGCUCAGAUUGAACGCUGGCGGCAGGCUUAACACAUGCAAGUCGAGCGGGGGAGGUUGCUUCGGUAACUGACCUAGCGGCGGACGGGUGAGUAAUACUUAGGAAUCUGCCUAUUAAUGGGGACAACAUCUCGAAAGGGAUGCUAAUACCGCAUACGCCCUACGGGGAAAGCAGGGGAUCACUUGUGACCUUGCGUUAAUAGAUGAGCCUAAGUCGGAUUAGCUAGUUGGUGGGUAAAGGCCUACCAAGGCGACGAUCUGUAGCGGGUCUGAGAGGAUGAUCCGCCACACUGGGACUGAGACACGGCCCAGACUCCUACGGGAGGCAGCAGUGGGGAAUAUUGGACAAUGGGGGGAACCCUGAUCCAGCCAUGCCGCGUGUGUGAAGAAGGCCUUAUGGUUGUAAAGCACUUUAAGCGAGGAGGAGGCUCUUCUAGUUAAUACCUAGGAUGAGUGGACGUUACUCGCAGAAUAAGCACCGGCUAACUCUGUGCCAGCCGCCGCGGU
Molecule: ribosomal RNA, 517 nt
Filed under: uncultured microorganism
Description: bacterial SSU rRNA
Rfam family: Bacterial small subunit ribosomal RNA
Source: RNAcentral